This 26-nucleotide non-coding RNA is filed under the name Homo sapiens (human). The record is from RNAcentral. Lineage: Eukaryota; Metazoa; Chordata; Mammalia; Primates; Hominidae.
UUGAAGGCCCUUGCUGUAUUUCUGUA